Molecule: ribosomal RNA, 254 nt
Filed under: uncultured bacterium
Lineage: Bacteria
Description: partial 16S ribosomal RNA
Rfam family: Bacterial small subunit ribosomal RNA
Source: RNAcentral
GACAGAGGAUGCAAGCGUUAUCCGGAAUGAUUGGGCGUAAAGCGUCUGUAGGUGGCUUUUUAAGUCUGCCGUCAAAUCCCAGGGCUUAACCCUGGACAGGCGGUGGAAACUACCAAGCUGGAGUACGGUAGGGGCAGAGGGAAUUUCCGGUGGAGCGGUGGAAUGCGUAGAUAUCGGAAGGAACGCCGGUGGCGAAAGCGCUCGACUGGACCUCUUCUGACGCUGAGGCGCGAAAGCCAGGGGAGCAAACGGGG